AGAGUUUGAUCCUGGCUCAGAAUGAACGCUGGCGGCGUGCUUAACACAUGCAAGUCGAACGGUAACGGGAGGAAGCUUGCUUCUUUGCUGACGAGUGGCGCACGGGUGAGUAAUAUAUAGGUAACGUGCCCUUUGGAGGGGGAUAGCCACUGGAAACGGUGAUUAAUACCCCAUACUCCUUUCUAACAUAAGUUAGAUUGGGAAAUGGAUUCCGCCAAGGGAUCGGCCUAUAUCCUAUCAGCUAGUUGGUGAGGUAAGAGCUCACCAAGGCGAUGACGGGUAGCGGGUUUGAGAGGAUGAUCCGCCACACUGGUACUGAGACACGGACCAGACUCCUACGGGAGGCGGCAGUGAGGAAUAUUGCACAAUGGGGGCAACCCUGAUGCAGCAACGCCGCGUGGAGGAUGACGCAUUUCGGUGUGUAAACUCCUUUUAUAUGUCAAGAAAAUGACGGUAGCAUAUGAAUAAGCACCGGCUAACUCCGUGCCAGCAGCCGCGGUAAUACGGAGGGUGCAAGCGUUAUUCGGAAUCACUGGGCGUAAAGGACGCGUAGGCGGGCUAGAAAGUCAGGUGUGAAAGCCUACAGCUUAACUGUAGAACUGCACUUGAAACUCCUAGUCUAGAGUAUGGGAGGGGCAGAUGGAAUUAGUGGUGUAGGGGUAAAAUCCGUAGAUAUCACUAGGAAUACCGAAGGCGAAGGCGAUCUGCUGGAACAUUACUGACGCUAAGGCGUGAAAGCGUGGGGAGCAAACAGGAUUAGAUACCCUGGUAGUCCACGCCCUAAACGAUGUUCACUAGUCGUCGGGAUGCUAGUCAUCUCGGUGAUGCACUUAACAGAUUAAGUGAACCGCCUGGGGAGUACGGUCGCAAGAUUAAAACUCAAAGGAAUAGACGGGGACCCGCACAAGUGGUGGAGCAUGUGGUUUAAUUCGAAGAUACGCGAAGAACCUUACCUGGCCUUGACAUUGAUGGAACCUGCUAGAGAUAGCGGGGUGCCCUUCGGGGAGCCUGAAAACAGGUGCUGCACGGCUGUCGUCAGCUCGUGUCGUGAGAUGUUGGGUUAAGUCCCGCAACGAGCGCAACCCUCGUCCUUAGUUGCUAGCAGUUCGGCUGAGCACUCUAAGGAGACCGCCUUCGCAAGGAGGAGGAAGGUGAGGACGACGUCAAGUCAUCAUGGCCCUUAUGGCCAGGGCUACA
Molecule: ribosomal RNA, 1197 nt
Filed under: uncultured bacterium
Lineage: Bacteria
Description: bacterial SSU rRNA
Rfam family: Bacterial small subunit ribosomal RNA
Source: RNAcentral